GACGAACGCUGGCGGCGUGCCUAAUACAUGCAAGUCGAACGCAUUUUCUUUCACCGUAGCUUGCUACACCGAAAGAAAAUGAGUGGCGAACGGGUGAGUAACACGUGGGUAACCUGCCCAUCAGCGGGGGAUAACACUUGGAAACAGGUGCUAAUACCGCAUAAUUCCAUUUACCGCAUGGUAGAUGGGUGAAAGGCGCUUUUGCGUCACUGAUGGAUGGACCUGCGGUGCAUUAGCUAGUUGGUGGGGUAACGGCCUACCAAGGCUGCGAUGCAUAGCCGACCUGGGAGGGUGAUCGGCCACACUGGGACUGAGACACGGCCCAGACUCCUACGGGAGGCAGCAGUAGGGAAUCUUCGGCAAUGGACGCAAGUCUGACCGAGCAACGCCGCGUGAGUGAAGAAGGUUUUCGGAUCGUAAAACUCUGUUGUUAGAGAAGAACAAGGAUGAGAGUGGAAAGUUCAUCCCUUGACGGUAGCUAACCAGAAAGCCACGGCUAACUACGUG
This 507-nucleotide ribosomal RNA is filed under the name uncultured bacterium. RNAcentral describes it as "partial 16S ribosomal RNA". It matches the Rfam family "Bacterial small subunit ribosomal RNA", at positions 28 to 507 of the family's 1533-position model. The record is from RNAcentral.